CAGUCGCCAUCGAUGGUGGCGCCACAGCUAUCCUAGCAGACGUUCCCGCCUUUUUUAUGUGUUUAGUUAACAUUGCCGGUUGUAAAUCGGCUUUGAAUACGAUUGUUGUGUACUGUACUUCGUCCAUUCAUUUACAUAUUAAGUUGAUAUGGCCGUCAUAUUCAAAUUGGCGCUGACCAUUAAUGCUUUAUACCUAAGUUAAAAGGUUUCAUAGAUGGCUUCUUGAAGAACGAAAGAACCGUUCCCAUUGUAUGGCUGGCGAUGCUCGCUACUUGCGCCACGCUAUGGAAUUUUUAGGUGGCUAGAUAUACGGAUUAAUCUAGAACUGCAUUAAACUUCUGAUCUAAAAAACAACUUAGGUAGAGGUAGGCCUCUGCAUACGUACCUAAAAUAGGUAUUAUUAAAUGGCUUUCGUUACCGGAACAGUAAAAGGAAAUAAAUACUAAUAGCAACAGCCUAAUCAGAUGAUUAAAGUAGGAAAUCAAUUAAAAUGAAUUGCCAAGGGGGACAAAUUAUCCAAAGCACACUUGAAUAUGCCAAAUGACGAGAUAUUUUCCAGAAAAUAUCUCGUCAUUUUGCGAUAAGAACGAGUUCUGAUUCAUAAUAAGUUCGUAAUUUCAAGUCCUGGCAUAGUAAUUGGCAACGCGGAGCAGAAGGACGAAGAGACUCAGCGAUUUGAUGUAUAUUGUACGUAUAUUGAAGUAUGUAUCAACUGAAGCAAAGGUUGGCGGUCUAUUGGCCCGUCUGAAAGCGUUGUUGACGGCAGCUGAUAGUUCGGAUCUCUUACGACAUGAUGUGAUACAUCGACAACAGCCAUUGGAAGGAACAAUCGGUCCAGGGGAAG
Molecule: long non-coding RNA, 844 nt
Organism: Varroa destructor (honeybee mite)
Lineage: Eukaryota; Metazoa; Arthropoda; Arachnida; Mesostigmata; Varroidae
Source: RefSeq, a predicted model, not a curated record